This 163-nucleotide unclassified non-coding RNA is filed under the name uncultured fungus. RNAcentral's name for it is "sequence contains ITS1, 5.8S rRNA gene". The record is from RNAcentral. Lineage: Eukaryota; Fungi.
UUGAGGUUUCAUCCCGUCUCGGGAUCCUCUCACACUUGCAUUGUUACAAAUGUUGCUUCAGCGGAGCGCAAGCAAUUGCCGCUGACUCUCGAGUUAUCGAGCCUCCGCUGAAGACCCCAACUCUUCGACUCAGCAAUAGUCUGUUACAGUUCAAAUUGAAACA